Citrus sinensis (sweet orange) is the source of this 107-nucleotide non-coding RNA. NCBI's taxonomy places the organism in Eukaryota, Viridiplantae, Streptophyta, Magnoliopsida, Sapindales, Rutaceae. The record is from Rfam.
AUAUCAUGGUGAGGGCAUCUCUUAAGUAACUCCUUAAAUCUUUAUCAUGCAUCUUCCAAGCUUUCAUCUUCAAAUUGAUGGAAGGAUAUGAUCUCAUUCCUCAAUUU